Molecule: ribosomal RNA, 402 nt
Filed under: Escherichia coli LAU-EC10
Lineage: Bacteria; Pseudomonadati; Pseudomonadota; Gammaproteobacteria; Enterobacterales; Enterobacteriaceae
Description: bacterial LSU rRNA
Rfam family: Bacterial large subunit ribosomal RNA
Source: RNAcentral
GGGUUGUGAGGUUAAGCGACUAAGCGUACACGGUGGAUGCCCUGGCAGUCAGAGGCGAUGAAGGACGUGCUAAUCUGCGAUAAGCGUCGGUAAGGUGAUAUGAACCGUUAUAACCGGCGAUUUCCGAAUGGGGAAACCCAGUGUGAUUCGUCACACUAUCAUUAACUGAAUCCAUAGGUUAAUGAGGCGAACCGGGGGAACUGAAACAUCUAAGUACCCCGAGGAAAAGAAAUCAACCGAGAUUCCCCCAGUAGCGGCGAGCGAACGGGGAGGAGCCCAGAGCCUGAAUCAGUGUGUGUGUUAGUGGAAGCGUCUGGAAAGGCGCGCGAUACAGGGUGACAGCCCCGUACACAAAAAUGCACAUACUGUGAGCUCGAUGAGUAGGGCGGGACACGUGGUAUC